Molecule: transfer RNA, 70 nt
Filed under: Marmota marmota marmota (Alpine marmot)
Lineage: Eukaryota; Metazoa; Chordata; Mammalia; Rodentia; Sciuridae
Also listed under: 2 other names
Rfam family: tRNA
About the family: Transfer RNA (tRNA) molecules are approximately 80 nucleotides in length.
Source: Rfam by way of RNAcentral
GGUUGUGGCUCAUUAGUAGAGUGCUUGCCUAGCAUGCAUGAGGCACUGGGUUUGAUCCCUGGCACUACCU